Sorghum bicolor (sorghum) is the source of this 1939-nucleotide long non-coding RNA. RefSeq lists it as uncharacterized. The transcript is spliced from 3 exons. Lineage: Eukaryota; Viridiplantae; Streptophyta; Magnoliopsida; Poales; Poaceae. The record is from RefSeq and is a predicted model, not a curated record.
GGUUGAAGCUGACGUCGAGGACGAUGAUGCUUGUGGAUGACACCAAUCCGAGCGGCAGGUCACCGAACAGCGAAUUGUAGGACAAGUUAAGACGCUGCAAGCCAGUGAGGUGAUUCCUUCCCAUUUGCAGCAGUCAGUACCUUGCCAAAGCUUGGUGAGACCAGCAUCCUGCGAGAGCUCCGAGAGGAACUGGAGGAGGGAUGUCCUCUCCAGCUCCAUGCAGGAGGAACUGGUGCAAGGCGUCAAGGAGAUGAGCAGCACAAGGGUAAGGCCAAUGGAAGGUAUGUGAAAUCUGUUUUGGUUCCUCUUGUAUGAAAAGUGGAGUGGCUGCAUGGCUUCCUAUUGAAAGUUUGAAACUUGCAUGGGAACCAGAUGCUUAAGUUAUGCCCUCUUUAGACGAACUACCAAUGGUCUAAACAGGGAAGAGCAUGAGACAGAAGUAGUAGGAGGCGGCUCUUGGCUCUGCUUGCUGGUCCCUUGAUAGCCGUGGCCACCCAAAGAAAAAUGGAGUCAAGGAUUAUAUGCUACAACAAAAUGCUGAUUAUGGUUCUAUUUUAUACACCAGACGAAGCAGCCUGCAUGUUCACACUUUGACAUUUUCAUUGGUGGCAAGCUGAUCCAUCUGAACAAGCUUCUUGCCGUAUAAAAUAUUUGCCUUCUCCGGAUCAUCAUUAAACAAUCCUGGCUGAAUUAUUAUUACAGACUGCCAUGAUUUACCUGAUCACACAUAACUUCUUGUGACAGAUUUGACUCGAUACACAGCCUGCCUUUUUUAUCUGAUAUCAGGAUACGGCACCACUUGUCCUACCAGCUUCAGCUAGCCAACCUGUUGUCCACCGCUUGAUGAAUGUUUCCAUUUUUAUACAUAAUAAUGCACCCCUUUUCUUGUUAACAGGAAUCUGGAAAAGUUGCACGGUUCCCAAAGACACUGAAGAUCUUCAAGAUUAUCGAGAAGAGACACUACAGUACAUGGAGAGCCUCACUCCAGGGCGCGCGUACAAUAAUUUAGAUCAAUCAUCGGCGCUGCGGUCAGGGUAUCAACAUGGUUUAAACUUUGGAGAAAGCAUUUUUUGCAAGUGGAGGCUGGAGAAAUAAGAAAGGCAGAGAGGUUGAUGAUGAUGAUGGUGGCUAGCUAAGGACGACCUGGAGCCCUACUCUUUGUCUGAUUGGCUGCCUCGGCCCCGAGGCGUUUACUUUCUGUUAUCCUUGCAGUUGCAGCUUAUGCAGUGAUGUGCACGUUUGCGGCUGUUUUCCAUGCCCCUCUCCCCCGUUCCACUGGUGCGUGAUGGACCUCGGCUCUGGCUGGAAGUAAACUGGGCAGCGUCUUGUGCACGAUGACAGGCAGGCAGGCAGGCUGAGAUUUGAAGCAGCCCCCGGAGAGUGGAGCGCAUGAAUGAACACGACCUAUCGAAAUUAUUCAGGAUUCAGAGCCAAUCGCAGAGGAACCUGCUCAGCUGGGAGCUGAAGGUGAAGGGCGAGUGCCUGGCGUGUCUGCUCGGACUCUCUGAAACCACGGCAGGAUGAUGCAGCAGCCAGCAGAAGCCACGGCAUGCAACGGCUUCAGCAUGCGCGUGGAGGACGCGGCCUUCCCACUCCAACUCCAACUCCACGCGGUCGUCGGUCAGCGGGCUCAUUGCAUUGCACUUGCACCGACUGGAUGGAGACGGGACCCACAGCAAACGUGGAGGUGCAUGGUUGAGCCAAAUCUUGGUUAUGGCCAAAUUUGUAAAUUAAUGCUUGGUUUGCCACGGAAAAAACCUUGGCCAAUACCAAAAUGUAGAGCUGCAAAGAGUGUUUGGAUAGUUGGCCUGCCAAGUUUUAGUUUACUAGACCUGUGUGAAUAUGACCUGUAGGAUUCACAUGUUUAUAUUAUCUUUUUCUUGACUAUAAAACAUGGCACACGUGCAAGGAAAUCAAAGCACGUUCGCGAAAAAAAAAA